CAAUCCCGCGUGAAAAAGAUUUGGCAUCACCCCUCUCUCUCGCUGACGUUAAAUCGUGAAAAGCCCAAUCCCCUUCUUUUCUUUUCCUCUCUUCUCUUUUCUGCCACCUUCGUAAAAGCCCUAAUCUUUCAAACCUUCAUAAAAGUUUCUCUUCUCUCAUUUCCAACCUUUGUAAAAGCUUUAAAUCUUUCUCCUUUACGCUUUAAUAUUUUUCUACUCCUCUUUCCCCUUAAUAAUUUUCUUGUUCUCCCUUCUUUUCUCCAUAUUUCACUUAAUCGUCUUCACCACUUUGUAAAAUCAUCUUUGCAGUCAUCCAGUCAUUGGCGUUUCCAUUUGGAGGCAUGUUGAAGAGUGGCAGCCAGUUUGAAGAGUCGUCUGAUGUAUCGAAGAAGCCCUCGUAGAAAAAUUAUAGUAGAUAAACCCACCACAUGCGAUUGAAUUUCCUCCCACACAAAACUCUCCACAUACGAUCGACUUCCAAAAGCUUUGGAGUCAUUUCAGAUAAUGAUGGAAAAAGUAAACUCUACUGAGCUUAAGGGAUCUUCCUUUGAUCCAUGUCUGCAGCAACCUCAACCUUGAAUAAUCCAACACAACAAAAUCUUCCGCCCACAAUUUUUGAAUCUAUAGAAGGACAGUAAGGGAAAAAAAUUGACAGCAUCCCUCAAAUUAUAGUAAUUAUCAUGAUAGCAGCCUUCAAUUAUAGCAAUUAUCAUACAUGUUUCCUUUUAGAGAUUGACUCAUAAUCUCAUAUGUCUAUGUAUAUAUGAAGUCUUAUAUGCCUUUUCUAAUUUUGGUUCUGAUCGAUAAGUGUAUUUUUCCUCAUUCAUGUUAAUUGAUUCCUUAUGUUAUACUUUUCAUAAUAGAGGAUUGUAAUAUUAUGUUUGGCAAGGCUGACAUAUAAAUCAGCUUGCUCUUAUCCUUUCAAAUAUAAACUAGAAUUCAUCAUGUUGCCUUAUCUUUUAAGCAUUGCGUUUAUUUUCUGUUUUGUAUUUAUCUAGAUCUCGAGAUUUAUAUCAUCGUUGUGAUGACCCAUGAAACAAAAUUUUAUGUCUUAAUCUAAUUAUGUUAGAGAUUUAGAGAUAUUUCAAAAAGAUAGAAAUCCUAGCUCUGCAAUUUUAGCCACUGCCGGGCUUUGCUCACUGAACUCGACAACCAUGUCUACUUGUCAAGGAUGUCUCUCAUCACGAGUUCCUCAAUGCUCAUGCUACUCAUCUCAAGCAAAUAAAAAAGCUAGAUAUGAACUAAAACAUGGGUAGCACAUGGAAGGAACUGAAGAUUGCUAUCGGCUUCAACACGUGCCUAUGGCUCUCGACUUGCUCGACCAGUUUUGGCCUCGAUUGCCGCUCGGCCACACCCACUUUGUUGUCUUUCGGUCUCCAACUCUCCAAGUCCUCGACAAAAUCCUCAAAGGCAACCUUUUACUAUCUACUUAAAACUUAUGGCUUCUUAACACCUUGAGUUUUGGAGGGAGGCAUUCUUCACAAAAUUCUCAUUCCAAGAGUGCACAGAUUUAUUGGCAAAGCCUACAAUCAAGGCAUUGUUGUUGAAAGAACCGUAGACCGUCCAUGCUUGAACUUAGUUAACAAUCUUUUUUUUUUCUUCUUUUACUUUGGGUGAAUUUAUGUAACUUUGUUUUUAUUGUAAACUAUUGAGUACUUUAUUUUGGGAUGUAAUGAAUUAUAAAAAAAUUCAGUUAUAAAAGGGAUAUGAUGUUAUAUUUAAA
Molecule: long non-coding RNA, 1723 nt
Organism: Momordica charantia (bitter melon)
Lineage: Eukaryota; Viridiplantae; Streptophyta; Magnoliopsida; Cucurbitales; Cucurbitaceae
Source: RefSeq, a predicted model, not a curated record